AUGGCCGCGGCAAUGGAGGUCGACGCCGGCGGGGAGAAGCCGUCGGAGAAGGAGCUCUUCCUCGCCGCGGAGUCCGGGGCCGCCGGCGUCUUCUCCUCCCUCGCCCCCGCCGACCUCGCCGCAGCCCUCUCCCUCCGCAACGAGGACGGCCGCUCCCUCAUCCACGUCGCCGCCUCCUCCGCCCGCCCCGAGGCCGUCGCCGCGCUUGUGGCUGCGGGGGGCGACGCCGUGGCGAGCGCCGUGAACGGGAAGGACGAGGAAGGGUGGGCGCCCAUUCACUCGGUGGCCAGCAGCGGCAACGCCCAGAUCAUCGACAUCCUGCUCGAUCACGGUGCGAAUGUUGAUUUGACUACUGAUGCUGGCCGAACUGCUCUUCACUAUGCUGCUAGUAAAGGAAGGCUUAACAUUGCUGAAAUGCUGAUAGCUCAUCGUGCAAAUGUCAACAAGAAAGAUAAGUUUGGCUGCACACCCCUGCAUAGAGCUGCGAGUACUGGAAAUGCUGAGCUGUGUGAAUACCUGCUUGAAGAAGGCGCAGAUAUUGAUGCAGUUGACAAGCUAGGACAAUCACCUCUAAUGCAUGCCGUCAUAUGCGAGGACAGAGGGGUUGCCUUUCUGCUGAUCAGACAUGGUGCCGAUGUUGACAUUGAAGACAAGGAGGGCUACACUGUCCUUGGCCGAGCCUCUGAUAGCUUCAGGCCUGCACUGAUUGAUGCGGCCAAGGCAAUGCUCGAAGGCUGA
Molecule: ribosomal RNA, 738 nt
Filed under: Triticum aestivum (bread wheat)
Lineage: Eukaryota; Viridiplantae; Streptophyta; Magnoliopsida; Poales; Poaceae
Description: partial small subunit ribosomal RNA
Source: RNAcentral